Ricinus communis (castor bean) is the source of this 1975-nucleotide RNA transcript. It is a transcript of the gene named protein ARV 2, with no coding region annotated. The record is from RefSeq and is a predicted model, not a curated record. The transcript is spliced from 10 exons. NCBI's taxonomy places the organism in Eukaryota, Viridiplantae, Streptophyta, Magnoliopsida, Malpighiales, Euphorbiaceae.
CAACCGACAGAGAGAAAACCAAAAAGCAAGCCCAAAAAACAUGUCGGCCCUAACCUUAAUGGAACUGGCCCACUUAUGCUUGGCUAAACUUGAAUUGAAGUAGUUUUAGGUCCUUGCCUGAUUUUUAGCUUUAACAGGUUUCACAAAAAAAAAGGAAAAAACACGAUCAUUUGAAUACUGAUUCUGGUUCAGGUAGUGAGACAGAGAGCAGAAGAUGUACAGAUGUGUAGAGUGUGGAUUUGGAGUGAAGUCACUCUAUGUGCAAUACUCACCAGGGAAUAUUCGACUUAUGAAAUGUGAGAAUUGCAAAGCAGUUGCAGAUGAGUAUAUUGAAUGUGAAUUUAUGAUUAUGCUGAUUGAUUUGAUUCUGCAUAAGCCAAAAGCUUAUAGGCAUCUACUUUAUAAUGUGCUUAAUCAAGAAACUGUCAAUUUAGAGGGUUUGAUAUGGAAGUCUGCUAUCAGUUUUCUUCUUCUGGAUGCUUAUAGAAGUAUACUAUUGCAAAGGAAUGUGGAAGAGCAGGUUUCUUCCUUGAGCUUUCCGUCCUUGUUUUGGAGAUCUCAAAAGAUAUUCAUGGAUGUCUUUCUUGGAAACCUUACAUUCCUUUGUGUUUUUCUUCUUGCAACAAGGAUUUUACUGAAAGCAUCAGUUAGGGUCUCCAGGACUAGAGGCUUGUUGCCUGCUAUCCUUGUUUCAAGUUACUUCAAGAUCUUUCUAAUUGCAAUGAUGGUCUGGGAAUUUCCAUCUUCUGUGAUAUUCAUCAUUGAUUUAUUUGUUCUGUCUUCCAACAUAGUGGCAUUAAAAGUGCAUUGAACUUUGCAAAGCAUUUCUCUGGGAUCCACCAUCACACUGUUUAAAAAUCUUAAUAGAAGCCUGGCAUAGAAACCACUUGGAGUGCCUCGUGGACCUAAAUUGAUGGGAAGGAAUCGCUUGUCCUCCUGCCAAAAAAAUGAAAUUCAGGUGGAGAAGACUGCAACACUUUUCUUCAUCAGUCAGAGCCAUUUUUAUUAUAAUGUUAGAGCAUCUGAGAAAGCUUCCUACAUUGCCCACAAUGAAAGCGUCUUCAGAGAACAUCCACCUUUUGAAGAAAUAUCUUUCAAUCAGUCCAGCUACCAAUACUUUGUUUGAUGUCAUAAAAGAUGGAGGUUUCCUUCACUAACACAGCAACCACUUAACCAUUAUGUAAUAUUGUUGAAGGAUGUAUUGUGUGUUUAUGAUGCUCUAAGCAAUACACUAUGAAAUGUGGUUGUUCUUGGGACCAUGGGUGAGCAUGCUCUUAACACAGCAGGUUCUUCGUAAAUCAUGGGGGAGAAAUCAAGACCAUACAUUCUGCCUUACAAAGGCUAUUGCUUGCACAGUUUUUACUGUUGGUAAUGAGGGGAGGGCCUUGGUUGUAGAGUAAGUUGGGUUAAUUUUAGCUAUAAACGGAAUCUUGUUUUGUUCGUCAAAAUUAGCUCAAGGUAUAUGCAAUCCCUUCUGUUACUUAUUGACUUCCCAAGUCAUUGAGUUAUUUAACUCAAAUUCUGUCCCUUACAUACGCAAUUGCACUGUACUGGAUCAUUAUGGAGGUGAUAGAUUUUUUCUAUUAACUUAGAAUUAAGAGAAUUUGAAACCUGGGUAAGUAAAUAUAGAUCCUUCCGAAUUUCCUUGCUGUAGCAACCUCAGGUUGAACUUUUGGCUGAUCUUAACGUGAAGAAACUGUGUCAUUUGCUUAUUUGCGAAUGAUUGGGAGGCGAGAAGUUUUGCUUCAUAACAUGCUUUUGAUAAAACGAAAGAUGUUAUCACCGAGUCAGAUCUGGGUGGAUGUAUUGGAGCCUGCUUCUGUGCACAUGCCGCAAAGUUGCUUGCCACUCUGGUGCCUAUGGUAGGAUCGUCAGGAAACUGAAACAGCAGUAAUUAAUUGUAUGUUUUUAUUCUUGAAACAUGCAUGUACAAUUUCAUUGAAGUUGAAAAAAUAUUUUAUUUCCUUUUCCUGUC